RNAcentral lists this long non-coding RNA (2518 nucleotides) under Heterocephalus glaber (naked mole-rat). RNAcentral describes it as "lncRNA (ENSHGLG00100040470.1)". The record is from RNAcentral. Lineage: Eukaryota; Metazoa; Chordata; Mammalia; Rodentia; Bathyergidae.
AAAUAAGCCAGGAGGGGAUUCAAGUGUGGUUAAUACUUCCUAGGAAGCAGAAGUCUUGGGGAAUCUAGUUUGUACUCUUGUAUUGUGCCUCAAGGCAGGUUAAGUGAGCCCAUGUGAACUGAAUGCAUUUUAAGGAGAGGUUGGGAAGGGAAUGAGGGGCAGCCUUUCUGUGUGUCUCCCAGGCCUAAAUGUGCAUAUGUGAAGCAUUUGUCAUCAUUUUGAUUGGGUCUGGUCUUGAACAGGCAUCAGUCCGGAAGUGAAUGAACUGUUGAUGGAAGCCCAGUUGCUCCAGGUAUCCCUUCCUGAAAUUCAGGAACUUUACCAGACUCUCCUUGCAAAGCCAAGCCCUGUUCAGCAAACUGACCGAAGCUCACCAGUUAGACCCAGCAGUGAGAAGAGUGACUGCUGCCGGGAAAGCGAGAUGGAAUCAACAGUCUUGAGAGGAAACUGAAGAGACGCCUGGACAGAGAAGGCCUCUCCAAUGAGCGGUGGGAUCGAGUCAAGAAAAUGCGGACCCCAAAAAGAAGAAAAUAAAACUGAGCCUCCCCAAGGACAUAAACAAUUUCAAGUUAGAGAGGGAGCGUAGCUAUGAGUUAGUCCGCUCUGCUGAAACUCAUUCCCUGCCCUCAGACACAUCCUAUUCUGAGCAGGAGGACUCUGAGGAUGAAGAUGCCAUCUGUCCAGCUGUGAGCUGCCUGCAGCCAGAAGGAGAUGAGGUGGACUGGGUCCAGUGUGAUGGCAGCUGCAAUCAGUGGUUUCAUCAGGUCUGUGUUGGUGUUUCUCCAGAGAUGGCAGAGAAAGAAGACUACAUCUGUGUGCGCUGUACUGGGAAGGACGCACCAAGCCGAAAGUAAAAACAAAACAAACACCCCCACUUAAUGUAAUUCAAGACUCCAACCAAGAUGAUUUUCUCAAAUCUCAGCAAAGCUACAGGACUGGUGUCCAAGCCAGCCUGUACAUGGUGCUAUUUCUAUUCCUUAUGGGAUCAUUUUUCCAGAACUCUUUGAAAAAAAAGAAAAAAACAAUGAAAAAAAUUUUUGACACUUUUUGUAUUUUUUUCCUUAAGAGCUGUUUGUGGUUGUUGAGGUUUGAAAUGCUGACUGUUUUUUGCAGGGGUUUCCACCAACUUGAAGGCAUUGAAGCUUGCACCUUUUCAUGUACAGCAUUAAAAUUGUACCUCUGUCUGGGAUUUACCGUUCAACUCAGUUCCGUGCCCAGAAGGGGCACCAGAAGUUCCAGUAAAUCCUCAAUUGAGGAAUCUUUCCCUUGUUUACUCUGUUACCAUAUUGGGGAAUUUUAAGUUUUUCACUUUUGGGGUUUUUGUUUGUUUCUUUAUCUACUUUUCUUUUUUUCUGGUAGACUAGGUUUAUUUAUCUGAGCAAUAACUUCUAUGUUGGUUUCAGUGGCUGGAAUUAAAACAAAACAAAACAAACUUCUGAACAGUGUGUUGGUGCUUUAGCAAUUGGUUGAUGUACAGAACGUAGGUGUCUAGUUUCUAGUGUCACUGAUGAACUAGUGAUGUAGAAAAGAGACUGCUCUGUAAGUAAUUGCCACAGCUGUAUUUUGGCUUCCUCCCUGCCCAUUCCUUCCUCCCCUCUUUUUGGUAGCUUGUAUCAAAUGUUGCAGUUUAUAUUGUGGAAUAAAUCCUUGGUCCUAAUAUAACACUAAAUGCUGGUUAUUUAGAACCAUUAGAUUAUAGCUUCUUCUGCCCCUCCACCUUGUGGGCUUGCAGAACCAGAAGAGCUUGCUUGCUUUGGCUUCUGUCUACCCAACCUGCAAUAGCAGUGAACGUCAGGCUGCAGACAACAUGAGGGGAGUCUCGUUCUGUAGCCUGCCCUUUUUGGUGGCCCAUAUGACUCUAGGCCCUAUUAGUAAAGAACCUCUCAGUUUUUGAAGACUAUAACCUGCCCCAAAGCGAUUCUCUUCCUAAAUAGGCUCUCUGAGAAGGUUGGUGAAUCACUCCAUUGCUCAGAUUAGACCUUCUUAUGGAAAUGACACCUUUACUAUAUUUUACUUGACAGGGAAAGUUGGUUUAGGGUUAAGAGGUUGGAAGAAAAUCAAAGGAAGAUUCAUCUUCAUGGAGAGUCAGGUUUAGCAUGAGUCAAGGGAAAACUUUUAAACACCCAAGCUCUGCUUUUCUGGUCUCCUUUCCUGUCUGUCUCUAACUUUCUGGAUCGUCACUGGUUGUGGAUAGCUCAUAGCCAUUUUCCUUCCUUUUCUUUUUAAUGGGAUCAGUUCUGCAGUGGAGAGGGCAUCCUGGUGAACAGAACACUCUUUUUCCUGUUCUGUUGCUGAUGUUUGUUUUCCUCACAUCCUAUAGCCAUAAACCCGAAGGUGGGUCGAACAAGUGGGUCUUGAAUGAAACACCACCAACAGAAACCAGUUUGUGCUGUAGCAUAGAUUUAAAUGUACUGUCCGCUUUUAUGGAAUUCAAAUAAUUAAAUCUCUUUAAGAAUGACUCCUAGUUGUCUGCAGUUUUCCUGCAGUUGCUGUGAUGUCUUGUCCUUGUCUGAUCAAG